UUGUUUCCUCACAGCUGCAAAAUCGGCUGACAAAUCAACUCCUGAG
RNAcentral lists this small RNA (46 nucleotides) under Arabidopsis thaliana (thale cress). Its description in RNAcentral is "ATSL183610". The record is from RNAcentral. Lineage: Eukaryota; Viridiplantae; Streptophyta; Magnoliopsida; Brassicales; Brassicaceae.